RNAcentral lists this unclassified non-coding RNA (240 nucleotides) under soil metagenome. RNAcentral's name for it is "partial contains 5.8S ribosomal RNA, internal transcribed spacer 2, and large subunit ribosomal RNA". The record is from RNAcentral.
AACAAGGCGUACCUGCGGACCUGCGGAAGGAUCAUUAACCUUUCAAAUCAGGGUGCGGCGCGGCCCCCGAGGAGCGGAAACAAUCCUUGGGAGGUAUGCGGGGGCUUCGAGCCCCCCAUUUACGCACGCACGACUGCCAUCCUUACUUUACGAGCACCUUCUGUUCUCCCUCGGCGGGGCAACCUGCCGUUGGAACCGAAUAGACUCUUUUUGCAUCUAGCAUUACCUGUUCCGAAACAA